GGGCGGCGAGGAAGCCGUCCUGACCGAUCUCGGGGGCCGGUGUGCCCUCUGGGGCACCCCGGCGCCGUACGACUCGGCGGCCGUCCUCCA
This 90-nucleotide transfer RNA is filed under the name Streptomyces olivochromogenes. RNAcentral's name for it is "tRNA-Pro". Lineage: Bacteria; Bacillati; Actinomycetota; Actinomycetes; Kitasatosporales; Streptomycetaceae. The record is from RNAcentral.